UCAACAACAGAAGUAAAUGCAUUUUCAGA
Molecule: non-coding RNA, 29 nt
Filed under: Bombyx mori (domestic silkworm)
Lineage: Eukaryota; Metazoa; Arthropoda; Insecta; Lepidoptera; Bombycidae
Also listed under: 1 other name
Source: RNAcentral